GACCCCUUCGGGUUAUAGGGUCAAGCAAUGAAGCGCACACGGUGGAUGCCUAG
This 53-nucleotide ribosomal RNA is filed under the name Halomonas sp. SUBG004. RNAcentral's name for it is "partial 23S ribosomal RNA". Lineage: Bacteria; Pseudomonadati; Pseudomonadota; Gammaproteobacteria; Oceanospirillales; Halomonadaceae. The record is from RNAcentral.